Molecule: unclassified non-coding RNA, 265 nt
Filed under: uncultured fungus
Lineage: Eukaryota; Fungi
Description: partial contains small subunit ribosomal RNA, internal transcribed spacer 1, and 5.8S ribosomal RNA
Rfam family: Eukaryotic small subunit ribosomal RNA (bases 1-73)
Source: RNAcentral
UCAAACUUGGUCAUUUAGAGGAAGUAAAAGUCGUAACAAGGUUUCCGUAGGUGAACCUGCGGAAGGAUCAUUAUCGAGGAAGGGUCUUUGGCCCGAUCCCCAAACCUUGAAACUAAACACCACGUUGCUUUGGCUGGCAUUUACCCGUGCCGGCCAGUAGCCUUUUUGAAAAAUUCAUUUUAAAUUGUAUCUGAGAUUGGAUGAAAACCGAAAAAAAACUUUCAACAACGGAUCUCUUGGCUCUGGCAUCGAUGAAGAACGCAGC